UAGCUGCAUUCAAUAAGGCAGAAUUUUGUC
Molecule: non-coding RNA, 30 nt
Filed under: Mus musculus (house mouse)
Lineage: Eukaryota; Metazoa; Chordata; Mammalia; Rodentia; Muridae
Source: RNAcentral